Molecule: ribosomal RNA, 468 nt
Filed under: uncultured bacterium
Lineage: Bacteria
Description: partial 16S ribosomal RNA
Rfam family: Bacterial small subunit ribosomal RNA
Source: RNAcentral
GACGAACGCUGGCGGCGUGCUUAACACAUGCAAGUCGAACGGAAAGGCCCUGCUUUUGUGGGGUGCUCGAGUGGCGAACGGGUGAGUAACACGUGAGUAACCUGCCCUUGACUUUGGGAUAACUUCAGGAAACUGCGGCUAAUACCUGAUAGGAGCUCCUGCUGCAUGGUGGGGGUUGGAAAGCUUGGGCGGUUGGGGCUGGACUCGCGGCUUAUCAGCUUGUUGGUGGGGUAGUGGCUUACCAAGCCUUUGACGGAUAGCCGGCAUGGGAGGGGGAACGGCCACAUGGGGACUAAGGUAGGGACCAGACUGCUACGGGAGGCAGCAGUGGGGAACAUUGUACAAUGGGCGCGAGCCUGAUGCAGCAACGCCGGGUGCGGGAAGACGGCCUUCGGGUUGUAAACCGCUUUCGCCUGUGACGGAGCGUGAGUGACGGUAAUGGGUAAAGAAGCACCGGCUAACUACGUG